Molecule: ribosomal RNA, 246 nt
Filed under: uncultured bacterium
Lineage: Bacteria
Description: partial 16S ribosomal RNA
Rfam family: Bacterial small subunit ribosomal RNA
Source: RNAcentral
AGAUGGCGACCGGCGCACGGGUGAGUAACACGUAUCCAACCUGCCGAUAACUCGGGGAUAGCCUUUCGAAAGAAAGAUUAAUACCGAUGGCAUAAUUAGACCGCAUGGUCUUAUUAUUAAAGAAUUUCGGUUAUCGAUGGGGAUGCGUUCCAUUAGGCAGUUGGUGAGGUAACGGCUCACCAAACCUUCGAUGGAUAGGGGUUCUGAGAGGAAGGUCCCCCACAUUGGAACUGAGACACGGUCCAA